This 292-nucleotide ribosomal RNA is filed under the name uncultured bacterium. RNAcentral's name for it is "partial 16S ribosomal RNA". It matches the Rfam family "Bacterial small subunit ribosomal RNA", at positions 505 to 796 of the family's 1533-position model. The record is from RNAcentral.
GUGCCAGCAGCCGCGGUAAUACGUAGGGUGCAGGCGUUAAUCGGAAUUACUGGGCGUAAAGCGUGCGCAGGCGGUUUGCUAAGAGAGAUGUGAAAUCCCCGGGCUUAACCUGGGAACUGCGUUUCUAACUGGCAGGCUUGAGUGUGGCAGAGGGGGGUGGAAUUCCACGUGUAGCAGUGAAAUGCGUAGAGAUGUGGAGGAACACCGAUGGCGAAGGCAGCCCCCUGGGCUAACACUGACGCUCAUGCACGAAAGCGUGGGGAGCAAACAGGAUUAGAUACCCGGGUAGUCC